CCUACGGGAGGCAGCAGUGGGGGAUAUUGCACAAUGGGGGGAACCCUGAUGCAGCGACGCCGCGUGGGUGAAGAAGCGCCUCGGCGCGUAAAGCCCUGUCAGCAGGGAAGAAAAUGACGGUACCUGAAGAAGAAGCCCCGGCUAACUACGUGCCAGCAGCCGCGGUAAUACGUAGGGGGCAAGCGUAAUCCGGAUUUACUGGGUGUAAAGGGGGUGCAGACGGGGAUGCAAGCCAGGAGUGAAAGCCCGGGGACCAACCCCGGGACUGCUCUUGGAACUGCGUGGCUGGAGUGCAGGAGGGGCAGGCGGAAUUCCUGGUGUAGCGGUGAAAUGCGUAGAUAUCAGGAGGAACACCGGUGGCGAAGGCGGCCUGCUGGACUGCAACUGACGUUGAGGCCCGAAAGCGUGGGGAGCAAACAGGAUUAGAUACCCGAGUAGUC
This 440-nucleotide ribosomal RNA is filed under the name uncultured bacterium. RNAcentral describes it as "partial 16S ribosomal RNA". It matches the Rfam family "Bacterial small subunit ribosomal RNA", at positions 338 to 795 of the family's 1533-position model. The record is from RNAcentral.